GAUGAACGCUAGCGGCAGGCCUAAUACAUGCAAGCCAAGGGCUGUUUGGUGUAGCAAUACAUCAAACAACCGGCGGACGGGUGCGUAACGCGUAUGCAACCUACCCUAUACAGGAGGAUAGCCCUCGGAAACGAGGAGUAAUACACCAUAAGAUUGCUUAGAGGCAUCUUUAUGCAAUGAAAGUUGCACGGCGGUAUAGGAUGGGCGUGCGUCCGAUUAGCUAGUUGGUGAGGUAACGGCGCACCAAGGCGAUGAUCGGUAGGGGUUCUGAGAGGAAGAUCCACCUAAAGGGCACUGGCACACGGGCCCGACUCCUACGGGAGGCAGCCGUAAGGAAUAAUGGACAUGGAGUGAGAGUCUGAUCCAGCCGUGCCGCGUGAAGAAAUAAAGCCUUAUGGGUGUUAGUCUGAUCUUGAGGCGGAUAAGUAUGUUUCACGCGUCGCUCGCUGACAGUACUGCUCGAAUAAGCAUCGGCUAACUUCGUG
RNAcentral lists this ribosomal RNA (485 nucleotides) under uncultured bacterium. RNAcentral's name for it is "partial 16S ribosomal RNA". It matches the Rfam family "Bacterial small subunit ribosomal RNA", at positions 28 to 507 of the family's 1533-position model. The record is from RNAcentral.